UACGUAGGCAGCGAGCGUUGUUCGGAUUCACUGGGCGUAAAGGGUGCGUAGGUGGCGAGGUAAGUCGGAUGUGAAAGCUCGGAGCUCAACUCCGAAAUGGCAUUGGAAACUACCUUGCUCGAGGGUUGGAGGGGGGACUGGAAUGCUUGGUGUAGCAGUGAAAUGCGUAGAUAUCAAGCGGAACACCAGUGGCGAAGGCGAGUCCCUGGACAACUCCUGACACUGAGGCACGAAAGCUAGGGGAGCAAACAGG
Molecule: ribosomal RNA, 253 nt
Filed under: uncultured bacterium
Lineage: Bacteria
Description: partial 16S ribosomal RNA
Rfam family: Bacterial small subunit ribosomal RNA
Source: RNAcentral